CCAGAGCAGGCAGGAGAAAAGUUACAUUUCAGGAUCCAAGUUUCUUCACCAUGAGAAUGUGGUCCAUCGGCGCAGGAGCCCUGGGUGCUGCUGCCUUGGCACUGCUCCUGGCCAACACUGAUGUGUUUCUGUCCAAGCCGCAGAGAGCAGCACUGGAGUAUCUGGAGGACAGAGCCCUGAAAACACUAGACAAGGAACCAAGAACUUUCAAAGCAAAAGAGCUAUGGGAAAAGAAUGGAGCUGUGAUCACGGCUGUGCGGAGGCCAGGUUGUUUCCUCUGUCGAGAGGAAGCUGCAGACUUGUCCUCUCUGAAACCCAAACUGGAGGAGCUGGGCAUCCUGCUCAAUGCUGUGGUGAAGGAGCAGAUCGGGACUGAAGUGAAGGACUUCCAGUCUUAUUUGAAAGGAGAAAUCUUCCUGGAUGAAAAGAAAAGUUCUAUGGUCCACAAAGGUGGAAGAUGAUGUUUAUGGGAUUUAUCCGACUGGGAGUGUGGUACAACUUCUUCCGGGCCUGGAAUGGAGGCUACUCUGGAAACCUAGAAGGUGAAGGCUUCAUCCUUGGUGGAGUUUUUGUGGUGGGAUCAGGAAAACAGGGCAUUCUUCCUGAGCACCGAGAAAAAGAAUUUGGAGACAAAGUAAACCCACUUUCUGUUCUUGAAGCUGCUAGGAAGAUCAAGUCACAGGCUUCGAACUCAGAGAACAAAUGAUUCUGUGAAACUGCCUAAUGCAGGAUAACUUGGAGCACUCACCGUUUCUUUGGGAGGUGUUGUGUUUCCGU
This is an RNA transcript of Otolemur garnettii (small-eared galago), 777 nucleotides long. It is a transcript of the gene named redox-regulatory protein FAM213A pseudogene, with no coding region annotated. The transcript has a single exon. Lineage: Eukaryota; Metazoa; Chordata; Mammalia; Primates; Galagidae. The record is from RefSeq and is a predicted model, not a curated record.